RNAcentral lists this ribosomal RNA (492 nucleotides) under uncultured bacterium. RNAcentral describes it as "partial 16S ribosomal RNA". It matches the Rfam family "Bacterial small subunit ribosomal RNA", at positions 29 to 507 of the family's 1533-position model. The record is from RNAcentral.
AGUGAACGCUGGCGGUAGGCCUAACACAUGCAAGUCGAACGGCAGCACAGUAAGAGCUUGCUCUUACGGGUGGCGAGUGGCGGACGGGUGAUGAAUACAUCGGAAUCUACUUUUUCGUGGGGGAUAACGUAGGGAAACUUACGCUAAUACCGCAUACGACCUACGGGUGAAAGCAGGGGAUCUUCGGACCUUGCGCGAUUGAAUGAGCCGAUGUCUGAUUAGCUAGUUGGCGGGGUAAAGGCACACCAAGGCGACGAUCCGUAGCUGGUCUGAGAGGAUGAUCAGCAACACUGGAACUGAGACACGGUCCAGACUCCUAAGGGAGGCAGCAGUGGGGAAUAUUGGACAAUGGGCGAAAGCCUGAUCCAGCCAUGCCGCGUGUGUGAAGAAGGCCUUCGGAUUGUAAAGCACUUUUGUUGGGAAAGAAAAGCAGCAAGUUAAUACCCCGCUGUUCUGACGGUACCAAAAGAAUAAGCACCGGCUAACUUCGUG